CCUACGGGAGGCAGCAGUGAGGAAUAUUGGUCAAUGGACGAGAGUCUGAACCAGCCAAGUAGCGUGAAGGAUGACUGCCCUAUGGGUUGUAAACUUCUUUUAUAUGGGAAUAAAAUGUUCCACGUGUGGGAUUUUGUAUGUACCAUACGAAUAAGGAUCGGCUAACUCCGUGCCAGCAGCCGCGGUAAUACGGAGGAUUCGAGCGUUAUCCGGAUUGAUUGGGAUUAAAGGGAGCGUAGGUGGAUUGUUAAGUCAGUUGUGAAAGUUUGCGGCUCAACCGUAGAAUUGCAGUUGAGACUGGCAGUCUUGAGUACAGUAGAGGUGGGCGGAAUGCGUGGUGUAGCGGUGAAAUGCUUAGAUAUCACGAAGAACUCCGAUUGCGAAGGCAGCUCACUGGACUGCAACUGACACUGAGGCUCGAAAGUGUGGGUAUCAAACAGGAUUAGAUACCCGAGUAGUC
Molecule: ribosomal RNA, 460 nt
Filed under: uncultured bacterium
Lineage: Bacteria
Description: partial 16S ribosomal RNA
Rfam family: Bacterial small subunit ribosomal RNA
Source: RNAcentral